Molecule: long non-coding RNA, 1070 nt
Organism: Acanthopagrus latus (yellowfin seabream)
Lineage: Eukaryota; Metazoa; Chordata; Actinopteri; Spariformes; Sparidae
Exons: 2
Source: RefSeq, a predicted model, not a curated record
GUCACUAACCCUAUAUACGUACACUCUCGGUGCACCUCCUGUACUGUAGGGGGCAGUGUACCCCCCGUGAGUGUUGUUCCCUGUGAGCCUAAGUCAGGUAUCCCAUGAAGAAGUACGCACCUGUGCGCGAGGCAAUUUCCUCUCUAAAAACACGAAGCACCGGCAGCAGACAGCCCAUAAACAGAUACAGAUGUCCGCAGGCAGACCCGGCAGGCACAGACAGGUCCGGUUUCAUACCGAUGGGCUGUGAGCCGAGGAAGAUAACCGCCUUGGAGGAGAGUUUAUGUUUGAUGAGCCUCUGGUUGUUUUUUCUUUUGCUAGCCUGAUCAACUGUCGAGAGAGAGAGAGAGACGAUUAAGAUGGUGAGCCCAGUCCAGCGACUCCGAGAGAGAGAGAGAGUUGGAGAUGUGGUGUGGCCAGCUGCAGAACCUACCUCGAAGACUCCAGAUCAUCUGAAUCACACAUUCUGAGAGCAGAUAAGACACACACUCCUCACCUACCAGAGUAGUAGUAGUAGUAGUAGUAGUAGUAGUAGUAGUAGUAGAGAUUGAGGAUGAAGUAACGGAAUGGACCUUGAUACAGAACACACACACUUUGGGAUUCCCUUUGCCAAAAUUGAACUUUGUUGAGUCGGAGAGCGCAGCUCGAAUGGACUUUCAUUUUAAUUUUUUAAAUCAUUUUUUGUGACGCCUUAUUUUUGUAAAUGAAAGCACAGCUGAGCUGUUAAUAUUGUUAUUUAUUGUACAGUGAUAUUAAAGUGUCACCCGUUCAAAGUAACCAACACCCACUCCUUUUUGUGAGAAACUCCCUGGUGCAACUCCUAUCGGGCCUAGAGUGAUGUGAUGUCUCCUGAACCUUAAAGUCAGGACCAAAGGUGCUACACCAUGUAGACACAUAAAUUAUACAUCUACUGUACUUGGUAAUCGUGAGGUAAUUGUUUUGCUUGAUUAAAAAAGAACAGUCACCUUGUUAGAUUUUGAGUAUUUGGUUUGUUCACGUCUACUGAACAAAAUGGAGGACUCACUCCAAUAUGAAAGGGUCAUUCUAAGACAAUAAAAAACACAACAAUU